Molecule: non-coding RNA, 45 nt
Organism: Schistosoma curassoni
Lineage: Eukaryota; Metazoa; Platyhelminthes; Trematoda; Strigeidida; Schistosomatidae
Source: Rfam
AUCCAACUGACGAGUCCCAGAUAGGGUGAAACAUGCGUCCUGGGU